This 1015-nucleotide long non-coding RNA is filed under the name Neogobius melanostomus (round goby). Its description in RNAcentral is "lncRNA (ENSNMLG00000021752.1)". The record is from RNAcentral. Lineage: Eukaryota; Metazoa; Chordata; Actinopteri; Gobiiformes; Gobiidae.
CAGCAGAGGAGGUUGCUUCAAAGCUAACAGAGGCCAUGGCGUCGGUCACAUCCUGGCUCGAAAAAUCCUGCCUUCAACUUAAUAUAUCCAAAACUGUUUGUAUGUUCUUUUCAAAAAACACCAAAAAUACCAUAAACAUUAUACCAGAUAUUUCAAUAGCAGGACAAAAAAUACAAGCAGUCUCAGAAUUCAAAUACCUAGGAUUAUACAUUGAUUCAAACCUCAGCUUCAAAACACACAUCCAAAACACUGGCAAUAAGAUUAAAUUCUGUUUAUCAAAUUUUAGGUUCAUUAGAGACUGUUUGUCAAAUCAAGCUGCUAAAAUAUACUUUUUUUCCAUGAUCCUCUCACAUAUCACAUAUUGUAUCAUAAGUUGGUCAAACACACAUGCCACAUCAAUUAUUCCCAUGAAAUCAUUUUAUAAACAAGCGCUUAAAACAUUGGAUAAAAAACCCUACAGAUAUCACCAUUGUCAGAUCUUACAGAAAUAUAAGUUGCUAAGUUGGGACAAUCUUAUAAAAUUCAAAAACAUCUGUUUAAUGUAUAGAAUUAAAACUGGCUCUGCUCCCCCUUCACUGAGCGAGUUUGUAAACUUCAGAUCGAGUGCAGGCAGAGUAACUCGAGGGGCAGUGAGGGAAGACUGCAUCCUCCCCCUCAGAAAAACUGCAUUUGGUCAGGCCGUGUUUUCUUAUAAAGCCUCCCAACAGUGGAACACAGUGCCUGAAUCAAUUCGCGAGUCUUCCUCAUUUAAUUCAUUUAAAAAGAAUGCCAAAAAGUGGCUCGUGGAGACACAGACUUGUGAGCACUAGUUAUAUUGGAAAAUGUAUACUUGGCUCAUUUUAUGUACUAUGUAUGUAUGUAUGUAACUAUAUUGUAUUUUGUAAAUUGCUGUGUGAUUUUAAUUCUGUUUUUUUAGGCUGGCUUUGACAUCUGCCAAAGGGUCUACCGAUGAAAAUUAGCUUCUUCUGCUAACUCGGGCAUAUUUACAUUGUAAAAUGUUGAUUAAUGUGCACUG